UAUACUUAAUAUUACAUUUUUUUUUAUUAUUGUGUUCAAUUGACAGUCUUAAUAUCUAACAUUGAAACUCUUCAAUAUCUUAGAUGCAAUGAAAAUUAUAGGGGAUUUACAGGCAGGAAUUGCUGAUAGAAUGAAAAAUGUCUGGAAGAAAAGUUUUCCCUUUCUUUUUAAGAGUUUAAAACUCAGAAGCCAUCCUGAGAGUCAGUCCUGCUGUCCAACAGAGAAAUUCCAUAUCCAAUUAACUUAUUUGGAAGCUAAUGCUGAAGCUAUCUUUACAUCCUGUAUUCUCAAGAUCAGAUCAUGCCUAAUAAUCCUAUUGAAA
This 322-nucleotide long non-coding RNA is filed under the name Androctonus crassicauda. Lineage: Eukaryota; Metazoa; Arthropoda; Arachnida; Scorpiones; Buthidae. The record is from RNAcentral.